Molecule: ribosomal RNA, 520 nt
Filed under: uncultured bacterium
Lineage: Bacteria
Description: bacterial SSU rRNA
Rfam family: Bacterial small subunit ribosomal RNA
Source: RNAcentral
GGGAAUCUACCCUGAUCUGCGGAAUAGCUCCGGGAAACUGGAAUUAAUACCGCAUGUGCCCUGAGGGGCAAAGAUUUAUCGGUUCAGGAUGAGCCCGCGUCCGAUUAGCUAGUUGGUGGGGUAAUGGCCUACCAAGGCGACGAUCGGUAGCUGGUCUAAGAGGAUGAUCAGCCACAUUGGGACUGAGACACGGCCCAAACUCCUACGGGAGGCAGCAGUGGGGAAUAUUGGACAAUGGGCGCAAGCCUGAUCCAGCCAUGCCGCGUGAGUGAUGAAGGCCCUAGGGUUGUAAAGCUCUUUCAGUGGGGACGAUAAUGACGGUACCCACAGAAGAAGCCCCGGCUAACUUCGUGCCAGCAGCCGCGGUAAUACGAAGGGGGCUAGCGUUGUUCGGAAUUACUGGGCGUAAAGCGCACGUAGGCGGACAUUUAAGUCAGGGGUGAAAUCCCGGGGCUCAACCCCGGAACGGCCUUUGAUACUGGGUGUCUUGAGUUCGGAAGAGGUGAGUGGAAUUGCGAGU